CUGGCAACAAAUCAUGGUGACUUGCACACGCUUUGGAAUUCAGAUAUAUCAAAGGAACUUGCUGGUUCAUAUUAACAGAAGACACUGGCAAAAGGUGUGAGGAGUGAUGGAACAAUACCUAUGUGAUUUCAUGAACUGAACUGUGUCAUGCAUUAUGAAGAGGAAGGGGAUGUUCUCUUUAAAACCAUAACAUUUUAUUGCAAUAUGAUCAAUUAUGUCUUUAUUUGGAUUUGAAUGCCCAUAUUGUUAUUUAAUCAAUGUAUUGUUUUGUUGUAUUUCUUUAGAAAAUUGGUGAAUUCCACUUCUCCAGGCCAUUGGAACAGGUCUGUACUGACAGAUUUUGAGGACAUCUUCAUCAAGGCUCCGUAAAACCCACAUGUAACCAGUGGUGGCAAUCAAAGGCUAGAAAGGUCAUCUCAGUACGCCAAACCUUUCAUCCUGCAUUGUCAGCGCAUGUGGAGGACCUCGUAGCAAAAUUAAGCAAUGCUCUGUUUGAGGCCAGGAAGGAACAAUUGCUAGAAAAAGUUCAGUUGCUUUAAUGAACUGAUUCCCGAGCUCAGCAUUCUGAUACUGAGAAGAACCGAAGGGUUCAAUACAUGUUGUUCAGAGAUGUAAUUUCUUGUGGAGUGUGUCAUUAAAAUCACCAGAUAGAUUCUCCAACAAUUCAACACAGCAAGAGACUUCAACACAGCA
This is a long non-coding RNA of Triplophysa rosa, 693 nucleotides long. RefSeq lists it as uncharacterized. The record is from RefSeq and is a predicted model, not a curated record. The transcript has 4 exons. NCBI's taxonomy places the organism in Eukaryota, Metazoa, Chordata, Actinopteri, Cypriniformes, Nemacheilidae.